AAAACAUUUCUGAACGCAACAUAGGGGCGUUAAACAAUCCGCCAUUUUGUCCCAGUGACAAUUUAGGAUUUAAAUUAGUUUUUAACCCGUCUUUUUUUAAUUAAUCCGUUAUUCAAAGUGAUAUUUUGUGAGCUGUGUAGUGUUUAAAAAGCCUGUGAUAUUUUUGUGUAAAACUAUUUUGUUUACGUUACGCAUAUCUUGACGUUAUUAGUUGACCGAUUUUGACGUCGAACGGACAACUAGAUAAUCAAAAUGGGUACAAGAGAGGACGAAUACGAUUAUUUGUUCAAAGUCGUUUUGAUUGGAGACUCGGGAGUGGGUAAAAGCAGUCUUCUUUCGCGUUUCACUAGAAAUGAAUUCAACUUAGAGUCAAAAUCUACAAUAGGAGUGGAAUUUGCAACAAGAAGUAUAGAGGUUGACGGUAAAACCAUAAAAGCUCAAAUAUGGGAUACUGCGGGUCAGGAGAGGUAUCGCGCAAUAACGUCGGCGUACUACCGCGGCGCGGUCGGUGCGCUGCUCGUCUACGACAUCGCGAAACAUCUCUCCUACGAGAACGUUGAGCGAUGGCUGCGCGAACUGCGCGACCACGCCGAUCAGAACAUAUUAAUCAUGCUCGUCGGGAACAAGAGCGAUCUUAGGCACCUCAGAUCUAUCCCAACAGAAGAGGCAAAGGCAUUCGCGGAACGGAACGGGCUUAGUUUUAUUGAAACAUCCGCUCUCGACUCGACUAACGUGGAACCGGCAUUCCAGAAUAUAUUAACGGAGAUCUACAGGAUCGUCUCGCAGAAGCAGAUGCGCGACCCGCCCGAGGGCGACGUGAUCCGGCCCGACGCCGAGCCGGCCGACGUGCGGCCCUCCGGCGCCGACUCCGUGCGCAAGCAGUGCUGCCAGUAGACCGGUACCGGUCAUUGUUGUUGUCGGUCACAUAAACAAAAUGUUGACCAAAGUAAAGUACGAUUCACAAUCGCACAAGGAGCGUCCGCAUGCGGUGGCAUACGAUUGCAAUAAACAGUUUAAUUUUCUCUACCACAUAUAAAGUGAGCUUUUUAAUGCGAGUCAUUGUUAUUGUUGGUGGAAUAAAAAAAAAAA
Molecule: RNA transcript, 1089 nt
Organism: Vanessa atalanta (red admiral)
Lineage: Eukaryota; Metazoa; Arthropoda; Insecta; Lepidoptera; Nymphalidae
Gene: Rab11
Gene name: ras-related protein Rab-11A
Exons: 6
Source: RefSeq, a predicted model, not a curated record